AAUUUUAUAAUCUUCAGUACUUAAUAUAAUGAUCACAUUUUAAAAAAUUAGAACAAAAUUGAGACUUAAAUAAUCGAUAGCUUUAUAAGAGUGGUUCAUUUAAUUAGUUAAUUGGUUCAUUAAAAUACUUAUCAAAAUUACUUUUUUUCCAAAAAUUUUAUGCUUUGAAGGUUAUUAUUUGAACCAUUCACACAAAUCUGAGCAAAUACUGCUUAAAUGCAUGUACAUCAUGGUGUGGUGUUUUCUGAAGAGGUGUGGAAUCUUUCGUGAGAUAGCAUGUACAGAUCAAAAGAUAUUG
Molecule: long non-coding RNA, 298 nt
Filed under: Homo sapiens (human)
Lineage: Eukaryota; Metazoa; Chordata; Mammalia; Primates; Hominidae
Description: non-protein coding lnc-EDNRB-9:1
Source: RNAcentral